Molecule: long non-coding RNA, 250 nt
Filed under: Physcomitrium patens
Lineage: Eukaryota; Viridiplantae; Streptophyta; Bryopsida; Funariales; Funariaceae
Description: long non-coding RNA (PPAT_LNC000615)
Source: RNAcentral
UAUAAGUAGGAUUUGAUUAUAAUUUAUUUAAGAUUUGAUAAGAUGUGAUUAAGAUUUAGGAUUUCAUUAGAGUUUGGUCUAGGAUUGGGAUUUAGAAUUUGAUUAGGAUUUGAUUAAGAUUUGGCCUAAGAUUAGGAUUUAGGAUUUGAUUAGGAUUUGUCUUAAGAUUAAGAUUUAAGAUUUAAUUAGGAUUUGAUUAAGAUUUGUCCAAGAUUUGAUUAAGCUUUGCCUAAAAUUUGAUUAAAAUUUA